RNAcentral lists this transfer RNA (76 nucleotides) under Rhodospirillales bacterium. Its description in RNAcentral is "tRNA-Thr". It matches the Rfam family "tRNA". Rfam says of the family: Transfer RNA (tRNA) molecules are approximately 80 nucleotides in length. Their secondary structure includes four short double-helical elements and three loops (D, anti-codon, and T loops). The record is from RNAcentral. Lineage: Bacteria; Pseudomonadati; Pseudomonadota; Alphaproteobacteria; Rhodospirillales.
GCCGGCUUAGCUCAGCAGGUAGAGCACCUGAUUUGUAAUCAGGCGGUCGCGGGUUCAAAUCCUGCAGCCGGCACCA